AGUGAACGCUGGCGGUAGGCCUAACACAUGCAAGUCGAACGGCAGCACAGUAAGAGCUUGCUCUUACGGGUGGCGAGUGGCGGACGGGUGAGGAAUACAUCGGAAUCUACUUUUUCGUGGGGGAUAACGUAGGGAAACUUACGCUAAUACCGCAUACGACCUACGGGUGAAAGCAGGGGAUCUUCGGACCUUGCGCGAUUGAAUGAGCCGAUGUCGGAUUAGCUAGUUGGCGGGGUAAAGGCCCACCAAGGCGACGAUCCGUAGCUGGUCUGAGAGGAUGAUCAGCCACACUGGAACUGAGACACGGUCCAGACUCCUACGGGAGGCAGCAGUGGGGAAUAUUGGACAAUGUGCGCAAGCCUGAUCCAGCCAUACCGCGUGGGUGAAGAAGGCCUUCGGGUUGUAAAGCCCUUUUGUUGGGAAAGAAAAGCGGCAGGUUAAUACCCCGCUGUUCUGACGGUACCCAAAGAAUAAGCACCGGCUAACUUCGUG
This 492-nucleotide ribosomal RNA is filed under the name uncultured bacterium. Its description in RNAcentral is "partial 16S ribosomal RNA". It matches the Rfam family "Bacterial small subunit ribosomal RNA", at positions 29 to 507 of the family's 1533-position model. The record is from RNAcentral.